UACGUAGGCAGCAAGCGUUGUUCGGAGUUACUGGGCGUAAAGGGUGCGUAGGCGGCUUUUUAAGUUUGGUGUGAAAUCUCCCGGCUCAACUGGGAGGGUGCGCCGAAUACUGAGAGGCUAGAGUGUGGGAGAGGAAAGUGGAAUUCCUGGUGUAGCGGUGAAAUGCGUAGAUAUCGGGAGGAACACCAGUGGCGAAGGCGGCAUCCUGGCCCUGUCCUGACGCUCAGGGGCGAAAGCGUGGGGAGCAAACCGG
Molecule: ribosomal RNA, 253 nt
Filed under: uncultured bacterium
Lineage: Bacteria
Description: partial 16S ribosomal RNA
Rfam family: Bacterial small subunit ribosomal RNA
Source: RNAcentral